UUGGAGGGCAAGUCUGGUGCCAGCAGCCGCGGUAAUUCCAGCUCCAAUAGCGUAUAUUAAAGUUGUUGCAGUUAAAAAGCUCGUAGUUGAAUUUCGGGGCUAAUAUGUCGGUCGUACUUUGUACGUACUAACAUUAUUGGUUUCUCCCUUCUGACGAACCACGAUGUCAUUAAUUUGGUGUCGUGGGAAAUCAGGACUGUUACUUUGAAAAAAUUAGAGUGUUUAAAGCAAGCUCGCGCUUGAAUACAUUAGCAUGGAAUAAUGAAAUAGGACGUUUGAUUCUAUUUUGUUGGUUUCUAAGAUCGACGUAAUGAUUAAUAGGGAUAGUUGGGGGCAUUAGUAUUCAAUUGUCAGAGGUGAAAUUCUUGGAUUUAUUGAAGACUAACUACUGCGAAAGCAUUUGCCAGGAUGUUUUCAUUAAUCAAGAACGAAAGUUAGGGGAUCGAAGACGAUCAGAUACCGUCGUAGUCUUAACCAUAAACUAUGCCGACUAGGGAUCGGAUGAUGUUAAUUUUUUAAUGACUCAUUCGGCGCCUUACGGGAAAC
RNAcentral lists this ribosomal RNA (546 nucleotides) under uncultured Glomeromycotina. Its description in RNAcentral is "SSU rRNA". It matches the Rfam family "Eukaryotic small subunit ribosomal RNA", at positions 548 to 1098 of the family's 1831-position model. Lineage: Eukaryota; Fungi; Glomeromycota. The record is from RNAcentral.